AACGAACGCUGGCGGCAUGCCUAACACAUGCAAGUCGAACGAGACCUUCGGGUCUAGUGGCGCACGGGUGCGUAACGCGUGGGAACCUGCCCUUAGGUUCGGAAUAACUCCCCGAAAGGGGUGCUAAUACCGGAUAAUGUCUUCGGACCAAAGAUUUAUCGCCUUUGGAUGGGCCCGCGUUGGAUUAGCUAGUUGGUAGGGUAAAAGCCUACCAAGGCGACGAUCCAUAGCUGGUCUGAGAGGAUGAUCAGCCACACUGGGACUGAGACACGGCCCAGACUCCUACGGGAGGCAGCAGUGGGGAAUAUUGGACAAUGGGCGAAAGCCUGAUCCAGCAAUGCCGCGUGAGUGAUGAAGGCCUUAGGGUUGUAAAGCUCUUUUACCCGGGAUGAUAAUGACAGUGCCGGGAGAAUAAGCUCCAGCUAACUCCGUG
RNAcentral lists this ribosomal RNA (433 nucleotides) under uncultured bacterium. RNAcentral's name for it is "partial 16S ribosomal RNA". It matches the Rfam family "Bacterial small subunit ribosomal RNA", at positions 29 to 507 of the family's 1533-position model. The record is from RNAcentral.